Molecule: non-coding RNA, 585 nt
Organism: Phoenix dactylifera (date palm)
Lineage: Eukaryota; Viridiplantae; Streptophyta; Magnoliopsida; Arecales; Arecaceae
Source: RefSeq, a predicted model, not a curated record
GUAGAUACUCGUGGAUGUCAUCCACAUCAGCUUUGUUCUCACAGAAAAUCAGGACAGGAGGUGGGGUCUUCUGAAGGCACUCAAGGAGGGCACUUUUUGCAAAGUUUUGUAUCUUUUUGGGCAUGGUGGCAGAGAAGAGUAGGGUUUGUCUCUGGGCUUUGAAAUGGUCAAAAACCUCCCUGAUGUCAUCUUCAAAGCCCAAGUCAACCAACCUAUCAGCCUCAUCCAGUGUCAAAUACCUGCAAUAGGGAUCAAUAAGAGAAGGGUGAUAUAGGUACUUUCAGGAGUAGGAAAAAAAUGGAUACACGAAAAGUAGCUCUGAGAGAAAAACCCAAGCUGCUUAAAUCAAGCUUUAACAAGCUCCAAGCAUCAGAAGAUUUUUCAUGAUCAGAUUGAGUCUCUCAGUGGUUAGCAACAAUCUCUAAUGAUAUAGACAUGAUAUACCUGACUCAUCGACUUCUGACAUGAAGAUAGUAGAAAUGUAAAUACACUUCUACUUCUUAAUAUUGAACAUAUUGUCAUAUUCAUCACAUAAAACAUAUAAAAUGAGAAUGGUUCUGCAAAUUAUGCCUUUUAACACACCAA